RNAcentral lists this ribosomal RNA (325 nucleotides) under uncultured eukaryote. RNAcentral describes it as "partial 18S ribosomal RNA". It matches the Rfam family "Eukaryotic small subunit ribosomal RNA", at positions 1470 to 1796 of the family's 1831-position model. The record is from RNAcentral.
CCCUUAGAUGUUCUGGGCUGCACGCGCGCUACACUGAAGCGUUCAACGAGUAUUCACCUUGCCCGGGAGGGUUGGGUAAUCUUUUGAAAACGCUUCGUGAUGGGGAUAGAUUAUUGCAAUUAUUAAUCUUCAACGAGGAAUUCCUAGUAAGCGCGAGUCAUCAGCUCGUGCUGAUUACGUCCCUGCCCUUUGUACACACCGCCCGUCGCUUCUACCGAUUGAGUGAUCCGGUGAAUAAUUCGGACUGCAGCACUGCUUGGUCUCCAGGCUUUGCAGCGGAAAGUUUAGUGAACCUUAUCACUUAGAGGAAGGAGAAGUCGUAACA